CAGUUAUCCAAGUCAGAUUGUUCCAAUUUCUCAUAUUCAGACUCCAACGUCACAUUGUUCUGCUUCAAUUUUUCCUUCAAAGCAGGAUCAACCUUGCCAUGUAGUUUGUGGACGUCGUAUCUUAUCUGAGCAAACUCACGGAGUCCAAAAGAUCCCCCAACAAUGUAGAGCAGCAGCGGCACGCCGAAGGUCAUCGUGCGGCCCCGCCACAGUUUGCGGAACCGCUCCAUGCCGCUC
This 237-nucleotide long non-coding RNA is filed under the name Gallus gallus (chicken). The record is from RNAcentral. Lineage: Eukaryota; Metazoa; Chordata; Aves; Galliformes; Phasianidae.